Molecule: ribosomal RNA, 403 nt
Filed under: uncultured bacterium
Lineage: Bacteria
Description: bacterial SSU rRNA
Rfam family: Bacterial small subunit ribosomal RNA
Source: RNAcentral
UGGGGAAUCUUGGACAAUGGGGGCAACCCUGAUCCAGCGACGCCGCGUGGGUGACGAAGGCCUUCGGGUUGUAAAGCCCUUUUUCCGGGGACGAUGAUGACGGUACCCGGGGAAUAAGCACCGGCUAACUCCGUGCCAGCAGCCGCGGUAAGACGGAGGGUGCUAGCGUUGUUCGGAAUUACUGGGCGUAAAGGGCGCGUAGGCGGCCCUGUCAGUCGGGUGUGAAAGCCCGGGGCUCAACCCCGGAACGGCACCCGAGACGGCAGGGCUGGAGACCGGGAGAGGAGGGUGGAAUAGCCAGUGUAGAGGUGAAAUUCGUAGAUAUUGGCUGGAACACCGGUGGCGAAAGCGGCUCUCUGGCCCGGUUCUGACGCUGAGGCGCGAAAGCGUGGGGAGCAAACAG